RNAcentral lists this long non-coding RNA (388 nucleotides) under Zea mays. RNAcentral describes it as "long non-coding RNA (ZMAY_LNC000179)". The record is from RNAcentral. Lineage: Eukaryota; Viridiplantae; Streptophyta; Magnoliopsida; Poales; Poaceae.
UGCACUCCGCCGACGACCGCCUCAUCCGCGGCGCGCCCAUGGACAGGCACUCCAGCUUCUGGAAGGGCGCCGACGUCCUCGUCUUCAACUCCUACCUCUGGUGGGUCGCCGGGGACAAGAUCCAGAUCCUGUGAGUACAGACUGCAUGAAUCCAUUUGUUUAUGUGACGAGAUGAGAUCAAGUUAUGAGAACCGGAGCUGGGUCUGGACGGCCGAUGAGCCGCGCAGAAGGGGCGCCGACAACGACCCGAGCAAGGACAUCGUGGAGAUGAAGUCGGAGGAGGCCUACCGGCUGGUGCUGCACCAGGUGGUCCGGUGGCUGGAGCGCAACGUGGACCCCGUCAAGUCGCGGGUGUUCUUCGUCACCGCUUCGCCGACGCACACGGACG